UUGACCUCGGAUCAGGAAGAAUACCCG
Molecule: ribosomal RNA, 27 nt
Filed under: Sarocladium kiliense
Lineage: Eukaryota; Fungi; Ascomycota; Sordariomycetes; Hypocreales; Sarocladiaceae
Description: partial 28S ribosomal RNA
Source: RNAcentral